Long non-coding RNA from Pseudophryne corroboree (corroboree frog), 956 nucleotides. RefSeq lists it as uncharacterized. The transcript has 2 exons. The record is from RefSeq and is a predicted model, not a curated record. Lineage: Eukaryota; Metazoa; Chordata; Amphibia; Anura; Myobatrachidae.
AGACUGGCCCUGCAUGAGAAUAAAACUGUUGGGUCCCGGCGGAAGGAUACAGGGACUCGGGGAAAGGAGGUGAAGGGGAGUGAGGACUGGUCAGUUGGCAGUUGAGCAACGGAUGAGAGAGGGUCUGAGCUAACGAAGCAGGGGGAAGCGCUGUAAGACUACGGAGCUGGAGGACAGGGUUUGGUCUCCCUUCGCGAUCAGCGACUCUCACCCGGUGUUUGGCACCCAGCAGCAGUAGCGAUGUGAGCUCUCCCUCGGCAGCAGUGAGCGGAAAAUCCACGCCGGCGGGACCCGGGACGCAAGCCUCCAGCGCCGGUGGUGAGGAGCUGAGCUGAGGCGGCUGGCAGUGACGCAGAGAUCCGGAGGGAGAGGAGAGGAGCGGCCUGUUGGCACAGCACACAGAGAGUCAAGCUACCUGCAAAUAGCAAUAAGUGCACUUAUUAAACAGACUGAAAAGUAGUAAAAAACACACUGCAGUGUAAUUCAGCAUUGAUUCAACACGUUCAUCUAGAAGUCCGGAGGCAGCAAUCAACACAACUAGUAAGCAUCGAUAGGAGAGGAGAUUGUAUUGCAGUUAAGAGCUAUCACAUUUCCGUCAGGAAUCAAGUCUCUGCUACCCUACUAUGCUAACAACAAAGAGAGGGAGUCAGUGUAAUACGUCCAAAAGUCAGGAGAGUGAACUGAAUCCGUCAAGUUACAUAGAUGUGCAUGUCCACCCAGUGAGAGAGGAAUACCAGUGACUUGGUAAUGGAGUGACUAAUACAUACCUUCAUUAAGACACUCACAGGGCGUUUUACAGAUCUCAACAGUAAAUUCUGAACAAGAGACUAUAGCUCGGACGGGAAUUAAUUGUGAUAGAUCCACUGAGGGACAUCACCCAUAUUAAAGUGGUAACUGUAUUCGUCCAUCGUUAAGGACAAGUUCAAUUAACAUGAUAAAAGUAGUACCCAAUUGAA